GGGCCGUCGCGGCUCGGUUCGGUGGUCCGGAUGUCGGGGAUCUCGGGCGGCGUCCCUCGGGGUCUCCCGGCGGCCGAGCUCGGUGGUUCGGGUCGGGAGGUUGGUUCGGCAAGUCGGGUCGGCGGUUCGGGUCGGUGGUUCGGGUCGGCGGUUCGGGUCGGGAGGCAGCUCUGCCGCAGCUUCGGGAAGAGGUGACACCGUCUCGCACCUGCACACAGGUCGGGCCGGGAGCUCGGCCCGACCCCUCCGACGAUCAAGUUAGAGAAAGAUGUGGAGGGGAUUGGGGAUGAGGCAGAAGAAGAGCCUCUGAGUGUUUUGUGUCUGAGUGAGUUCUCCCCCCUUUGCUUAGGACUCAGGGGUAUUUAUAGAGGAGGUUUGAUGUUACUUGACGUAGUUGUCUGCAGGGCAGGACUGUACCUUUGGUGGUGUCUGACAUUGCCACUGGGGCUGCGUGGGAGGCCGAGCUGCUACAGGGUAUGGCGAGCCUCGGGCAGUGUGUCGCUCAGGGGGUUGCUGUCAUGGCGUGUCACAUCGCCAUUUUUACCCCUAUCAUAUGCCCCCCCCGAAAGGAGCUAUGCGUCGGUUCUUGCAUGCAGGGGGUCCGAUGCAUGGCUUUUUACUUCAGGUGGGCUGGUCAUGCGGAUCCGAGGCGUACGACGCAG
This 662-nucleotide long non-coding RNA is filed under the name Musa acuminata (dwarf banana). RNAcentral's name for it is "long non-coding RNA (MACU_LNC000999)". Lineage: Eukaryota; Viridiplantae; Streptophyta; Magnoliopsida; Zingiberales; Musaceae. The record is from RNAcentral.